GCCGAAUUAGCUCAAUUGGUAGAGCAAAUGAUUUGUAAUCAUUAGGUUAUAAGUUCAAGUCUUAUAUUCGGC
This 72-nucleotide transfer RNA is filed under the name Leucocryptos marina. RNAcentral describes it as "tRNA-Thr". It matches the Rfam family "tRNA". From Rfam's summary of the family: Transfer RNA (tRNA) molecules are approximately 80 nucleotides in length. Their secondary structure includes four short double-helical elements and three loops (D, anti-codon, and T loops). The record is from RNAcentral. Lineage: Eukaryota; Cryptophyceae; Kathablepharidacea; Katablepharidaceae.